Cyanistes caeruleus (blue tit) is the source of this 1920-nucleotide long non-coding RNA. The record is from Ensembl. Lineage: Eukaryota; Metazoa; Chordata; Aves; Passeriformes; Paridae.
AGGAGCCGCUUCUUUCCCAUUUUAUCCCCCAUUUUUCCCAUUUUUUCCCCCAUUUUUUCCCCAUUAUUUUUUCCCAUUUCCCCACUAUUUUUCCCCAUAUUUUUCCCCCAUUUCCCCAUAUNNNNNNNNNNNNNNNNNNNNCUCCUCCACCAUCCGGCACCUGAAGGAGCCGCUUCUUUCCCAUUUUAUCCCCCAUUUUUCUCAUUAAUUUCCCCAUAUUUUCCCCAUAUUUUUCCCCAUAUUUUUCCCCAUAUUUUUUUCCCAUUUCCCCAUAUUUUUCCCCAUUAUUUUUUCCCAUUUCCCCACUAUUUUUCCCCAUAUUUUUUUCCCAUUUCCCCCAUUAUUUUUCCCAUUUUUCCCAUAUUUUUUCCCCCAUUUUUCUUCCCAUUUCCCCCAUAUUUUCCCCAUUAUUUCCCCACUAUUUUCCCCCCAUUUCCCCACUAUUUUUCCCCAUAUUUUUUUCCCAUUUCCCCACUAUUUUUCCCCAUAUUUUUUUCCCAUUUCCCCAUAUUUUUCCCCAUAUUUUUCCCAUUUUUCCCCCAUUAUUUCCCCAUAUUUUCCCCAUAUUUUCCCCAUAUUUUUCCCCAUAUUUACCCCAUAUUUUUCCCCAUAUUUUUUUCCCAUUUCCCCAUAUUUUUUUCCCAUUUCCCAGGCUCCCAGCUGCCGUGUUUCCACGGCUCCUCCACCAUCCGCCACCUGAAGGAGCCGCUUCUUUUCCCAUUAUUUUUCCCCCCAUUUCCCCACUAUUUUCCCAUUAUUUUUUCCCAUUUCCCCACUAUUUUCCCCCAUAUUUUUCCCGUUAUUUCCCCAUAUUCUCCCCAUAUUUUUCCCAUUAUUUCCCCAUAUUCUCCCCAUAUUUUUCCCAUUAUUUCCCCAUAUUUUUCCCAUUUUUCCCCCAUUAUUUCCCCAUAUUUUCCCCAUUAUUUUUUCCCAUUUCCCCACUAUUUUCCCAUAUUUUUUUCCCAUUUCCCCAUAUUUUUUCCCCAUAUUUUUCCCCCAUUUCCCCACUAUUUUCCCCCAUUAUUUCCCCAUUUUUCCCCAUAUUUUUCCCCAUAUUUUUUCCCAUUUUCCCACUAUUUUCCCCCAUUUCCCAGGCUCCCAGCUGCCGUGUUUCCACGGCUCCUCCACCAUCCGGCACCUGAAGGAGCCGCUUCUUUUCCCAUUUUAUCCCCCAUUUUCCCCAUUUUUUCCCCCAUUUUUUUUCCCAUUUCCCCACUAUUUCCCCCCAUUUUUCCCAUAUUUUCCCCCCAUUUCCCCAUAUUUUUCCCCAUAUUUUUUUCCCAUUUCCUCACUGUUUCCCCCAUAUUUUUUCCAUUUUUCCCCCAUUAUUUCCCCAUAUUUUCCCCAUAUUUUUCCCCAUUAUUUUUUCCCAUUUCCUCACUAUUUCCCCAUAUUUUUCCCAUUUUUCCCCCAUUAUUUCCCCAUAUUUUCCCCAUAUUUUUCCCCAUUAUUUUUUCCCAUUUCCCCACUAUUUCCCCGUAUUUUUUCCCCAUAUUUUUCCCCCAUUUCCCCACUAUUUUCCCCAUAUUUUUUUCCCAUUUCCUCACUAUUUCCCCCAUAUUUUUCCCAUUUUUCCCCCAUUAUUUCCCCAUAUUUUCCCCAUAUUUUCCCCAUAUCUUCCCCAUAUUUUUCCCCCAUUUCCCCAUAUUUUUCCCCAUAUUUUUCCCAUUAUUUCCCCAUAUUUUUUUCCCAUUUCCCCACUAUUUUCCCCCAUUUCCCAGGCUCCCAGCUGCCGUGUUUCCACGGCUCCUCCACCAUCCGGCACCUGAAGGAGCCGCUUCUUUUCCCAUUUUAUCCCCCAUUUUUCCCCAUUAUUUCCCCAUAUUUUCCCCAUAUUUUUCCCCCAUUUCCCCACAUUUUUCCCCAUAUUUUUUUCCCAUUUCCCCACUAUUUUUCCCCAUAUUUUUUUCCCAUUUCCCC